CAUCAUGCCCCUUACUGACCUGGGCUACACACGUGCUACAAUGGUUGGUACAACGAGUUGCGAGUCGGUGACGGCGAGCUAAUACUCUUAAAGCCAAUCUCAGUUCGGAUUGUAGGCUGCAACUCGCCUACAUGAAGUCGGAAUCGCUGGUAAUCGCGGAUCAGCACGCCGCGGUGAAUACGUUCCCGGGCCUU
RNAcentral lists this ribosomal RNA (194 nucleotides) under uncultured Streptococcus sp. RNAcentral describes it as "partial 16S ribosomal RNA". It matches the Rfam family "Bacterial small subunit ribosomal RNA", at positions 1191 to 1382 of the family's 1533-position model. The record is from RNAcentral. Lineage: Bacteria; Bacillati; Bacillota; Bacilli; Lactobacillales; Streptococcaceae.